This 414-nucleotide long non-coding RNA is filed under the name Manacus vitellinus (golden-collared manakin). RNAcentral describes it as "lncRNA (ENSMVIG00005002779.1)". The record is from RNAcentral. Lineage: Eukaryota; Metazoa; Chordata; Aves; Passeriformes; Pipridae.
UGCUGUAGCUGGUUUGGAUUGGCAGAAACUCAUGGAUAUUUUUUUUCUCUCUGCGGUUUGGUAUUCACAGCAGUGUCAGCCCUGGAGAUACCCUGGGUGGUGCUGAGUGCUGGGGAGAUCCUGCAGACCUGCUGCAGAGACCAGACUGAUAAAGUCUCCAGGCCUCUUGGUGAGGUGGAUCGUGAUGGGACAGUGCCUUUUUGCAAAAGCAGGGUCAGACAGAGAGCAGGAAGCUUUCCUCAUGGCUUCGUGUGAUGCAAUACCCCAGAUGGUGUUUGUACUGAGACCAAAAAAGUGAAUAUGGACCCCUUGGAGUCUGAUAUGAGGGAAUUUGUCAGCAGAUAACAGCUAAAGUUGUGCAUUAGAGGAAGACACUAGGAGAGAAUGAUUACAAACAAGACUCUGAGGUAACCC